GUAGACGGCCAUCUUAGGCUGAAAGCACCAUAUCCCGUCUGCUCUGUGAAGUUAAGCAGCCUCAAGCUCGGGUAGUACUCGGGUGGGUGACCACCCGGGGAAAGUCCGGGUGCUGUCUACU
Ribosomal RNA from Phytophthora infestans T30-4, 121 nucleotides. Lineage: Eukaryota; Oomycota; Peronosporomycetes; Peronosporales; Peronosporaceae. The record is from Rfam.